RNAcentral lists this ribosomal RNA (427 nucleotides) under uncultured bacterium. Its description in RNAcentral is "bacterial SSU rRNA". It matches the Rfam family "Bacterial small subunit ribosomal RNA", at positions 30 to 457 of the family's 1533-position model. The record is from RNAcentral.
AUUGAACGCUGGCGGCAUGCCUUACACAUGCAAGUCGAACGGCAGCACGGGAGCAAUCCUGGUGGCGAGUGGCGAACGGGUGAGUAAUAUAUCGGAACGUGCCCGGUCGUGGGGGAUAACGUAGCGAAAGCUACGCUAAUACCGCAUACGAUCUACGGAUGAAAGCGGGGGAUCGCAAGACCUCGCGCGAUUGGAGCGGCCGAUAUCAGAUUAGGUAGUUGGUGAGGUAAAGGCUCACCAAGCCGACGAUCUGUAGCUGGUCUGAGAGGACGACCAGCCACACUGGGACUGAGACACGGCCCAGACUCCUACGGGAGGCAGCAGUGGGGAAUUUUGGACAAUGGGCGCAAGCCUGAUCCAGCAAUGCCGCGUGCAGGAUGAAGGCCUUCGGUUGGUAACUAGCUUUGUUACGGUAACGGAAACGGUA